RNAcentral lists this ribosomal RNA (374 nucleotides) under uncultured organism. RNAcentral describes it as "partial 16S ribosomal RNA". It matches the Rfam family "Bacterial small subunit ribosomal RNA", at positions 527 to 896 of the family's 1533-position model. The record is from RNAcentral.
GUAGGUGGCAAGCGUUGUCCGGAAUUAUUGGGGCGUGAAGCGCGCGCAGGUGGUUCUUUAAGUCUGAUGUGAAAGCCCCCGGGCUCAACCGGGGAGGGUCAUUGGAAACUGGGGAACUUGAGUGCAGGAGAGGAAAGUGGAAUUCCACGUGUAGCGGUGAAAUGCGUAGAUAUGUGGAGGAACACCAGUGGCGAAGGCGACUUUCUGGCCUGUAACUGACACUGAGGCGCGAAAGCGUGGGGAGCAAACAGGAUUAGAUACCCUGGUAGUCCACGCCGUAAACGAUGAGUGCUAAGUGUUGGGGGGUUUCCGCCCCUCAGUGCUGCAGCUAACGCAUUAAGCACUCCGCCUGGGGAGUACGGCCGCAAAGACUG